This 465-nucleotide ribosomal RNA is filed under the name uncultured Victivallaceae bacterium. RNAcentral's name for it is "bacterial SSU rRNA". It matches the Rfam family "Bacterial small subunit ribosomal RNA", at positions 29 to 505 of the family's 1533-position model. Lineage: Bacteria; Pseudomonadati; Lentisphaerota; Lentisphaeria; Victivallales; Victivallaceae. The record is from RNAcentral.
AACGAACGCUGGCGGCAUGGAUUAGGCAUGCAAGUCGAACGGUGAAGAUCUAGCUUGCUAGAUUGGAUCAGUGGCGAAAGGGUGAGUAACGCGUGAAUAACGUGCCCUCAAGUUGGGAAUAACUUCGCGAAAGUGGAGCUAAUACCGAAUGUGGAUGAUUUAUCGCAUGAUAAAUUAUCUAAAGGUUUACUGCUUGAGGAUCGGUUCGCGUCCCAUUAGCUAGUUGGUAAGGUAACGGCUUACCAAGGCAAUGACGGGUAGGUGGUCUAAGAGGAUGGUCACCCACACUGGGACUGAGACACUGCCCAGACUCCUACGGGAGGCUGCAGUCGAGAAUCUUCCGCAAUGGGCGAAAGCCUGACGGAGCAAUGCCGCGUGUAGGAUGAAGGCCUUUGGGUCGUAAACUACUGUCACUGGGGAUGAAUAAAAUGACAGUACCCGGAGAGGAAGCCACGGCUAACUACG